AGUGAACGCUGGCGGCAGGCCUAACACAUGCAAGUCGAACGGCAGCACAAGAGAGCUUGCUCUCUGGGUGGCGAGUGGCGGACGGGUGAGGAAUGCAUCGGAAUCUGCCCAUUUGUGGGGGAUAACCUCGGGAAACCGGGACUAAUACCGCAUACGACCUACGGGUGAAAGCAGGGGAUCUUCGGACCUUGCGCAGAUGGAUGAGCCGAUGCCGGAUUAGCUAGUUGGAGGGGUAAAGGCCCACCAAGGCGACGAUCCGUAGCUGGUCUGAGAGGAUGAUCAGCCACACUGGGACUGAGACACGGCCCAGACUCCUACGGGAGGCAGCAGUGGGGAACAUUGGACAAUGGGCGCAAGCCUGAUCCAGCCAUGCCGCGUGUGUGAAGAAGGCCUUCGGGUUGUAAAGCACUUUUGUUGGGAAAGAAAAGCAGCCGGUUAAUACCCGGUUGUCAUGACGGUACCCAAAGAAUAAGCACCGGCUAACUUCGUG
This 490-nucleotide ribosomal RNA is filed under the name uncultured bacterium. RNAcentral's name for it is "partial 16S ribosomal RNA". It matches the Rfam family "Bacterial small subunit ribosomal RNA", at positions 29 to 507 of the family's 1533-position model. The record is from RNAcentral.